UACGUAGGGGGCAAGCGUUGUCCGGAUUUAUUGGGCGUAAAGCGCGUGUAGGCGGCCAGAUAGGUCUGCUGUGAAAACUCGAGGCUCAACCUCGAGCUGUCGGCGGAAACCAUCUGGCUAGAGUCCGGAAGAGGAGAGUGGAAUUCCUGGUGUAGCGGUGAAAUGCGCAGAUAUCAGGAAGAACACCUAUGGCGAAGGCAGCUCUCUGGGACGGUAAUGACGCUGAGACGCGAAAGCGUGGGGAGCGAACAGG
This 253-nucleotide ribosomal RNA is filed under the name uncultured bacterium. Its description in RNAcentral is "partial 16S ribosomal RNA". It matches the Rfam family "Bacterial small subunit ribosomal RNA", at positions 524 to 776 of the family's 1533-position model. The record is from RNAcentral.